AUUGCGGUUGCUGUUGAAAUUAAACUCAAAAAAAUGUGGUUAAUCACAGUUAAUUAAUGAUUUAAUUGCUUUUUUCCCUUUGACAAGUGAAAUUAUCGUGUAUAACAACAUUUUGUAUUUACUUCAGUUAACUUUGACUAAUAUUGACAUACGUAUAUACCUUUAAGACGUUAUCGCAUGAUGAAUAAAGAUCUGACAUUUCCGCAUUAAUAUUUUCAAUUUUGAGAGGAUCCCAACACCACUGGCUAAAAUGCAGCACCAAAUCAUAACAGAGUCUCCACGAUAUUUAACUGAAGGUUGUAGACAGCUUUGUACAUCUCUCCUGAUCUCCUCCUUACAUAUUGAUGACAAUUUCAACUAAAAAUGUGAUUCAUCACCUGACUGUGUGGACUAUAAAGUUAUAACUACUGCCAAUGUUUUCCUUUCUUCCGUCUCCACCCCAAACAUUUCUGGUCAUAUGUGGGUGGAUUUCUGUGGCAGUGUUUAUUACCUGGGUGUUAUACUUGUAGACAAGACAGUGUAACAUUUUCCUGGGAGCUUUAAUACAGUUAAUCUGAAAUUAUUCUCCACACAGGUUUUAUUCUGUCUACCAACUACUUCUUGUUCAACAAAUUGUUUAUCAGGAAAAUGAGAGGGCCAUUUUCCCCAACUACGAGGGCAAAGUGUUCUGGAAUCUUCUGCUACCUACUGUUGGUUGUCGUUGGUUUUACUUCCUUAUAUUUAAGAUGUUUAAGGAGCACUAUCGUGAUCCCGAAACUGCCAAUGACUAGUAAACCAGAAACAAGAUGCAACAUUAAUUUGAAUGACACGCUUGACUUUGGGUAAGAAAGUGGACUCAGUAUCUGGUAAUUAUAACUUCCCUUGUAUCAGUGGUUGAAGUGGUAUGUUUAAGAAUUUUGGGUAGGAGGCAGGAUGUAUGCCCCACCCCCCGAGUUUACAAAGAAAAGUGGUACAAACAAAGAAUGAAUACAAAGAGGUUGGUCCCCCUUUACAAGACUCCGUCCCAGUCAUUCAUAACAACCUUUACGGCUGGGUGGACUAACCGAAACAAAAUGACGGAGAAAUCAAAAGAAAAAGGACAGCAGAGAUAGCACAAGAACAGGUGUAAAACACAAAUAAAAUUAUCAAAUAAAAUGUUACAAUGUUACAAUGAAUGUUACAAUAAAAAUCUUUUUUUUUUAAACCAUUCGGAAUAAUUUCUGAUUUAAAAAAACAAACAAACACCCAAUAUACCUACAAUAUAUUCAACUUUGCAUCAACUUCCCUGUGCACAGUCUUUCUUGGGCUUGAUUGAUUCAACCAUAAAAACACAUUAAAAAUCAGGACUUAUAACACUAAAUUAACGCUAAACAGCAAAAGGCUCUUACCGAAAAACAUACGCACUCACACCAAGAGUGAGUUAAUAGUCUCUGGAACUUCCCACAGAAGAGCGCUGACCUCACCUCACACACCCACUGCCUUUUCAAAGCUCCUCUGCCAUUCACACGACAAAAGGCAGCAAACUGCCAGGUGACAUUUAUUUUUUGAGCAAUGACUAGAUUAAUAAGAUUUGAUCAGUUUUAAUAUACAAAGGUCAGAUUAGCCCUCAAAGAAUAGCUCUUGCAAAGCAGAUGAAGCUAAAGAUUCAGCCAAAUGCAGCAAAGCUGAUUGGAAGGACAUACCAGAGCAUAGUAAAUAUUGACCUAAAUGACUUUGUGAAAUUACCACAGGAGUUUAAGGAGAUUAGGAAGGUGACUAUUCUGAAAUUGUUCAAACAGUCUCCUAGGAGGUAUAUGUAAUGUAUCCGUUCGGGCAGAGAACAGUACACAGUACAGGCACAGUACAGUAAAUCAUUCAUAACCAGCCUUACAAACAGACAAGUGCAGAUGAAACAAAUGAGCAAAAAGAAAAG
RNAcentral lists this long non-coding RNA (1891 nucleotides) under Oreochromis niloticus (Nile tilapia). RNAcentral's name for it is "lncRNA (ENSONIG00000027321.1)". Lineage: Eukaryota; Metazoa; Chordata; Actinopteri; Cichliformes; Cichlidae. The record is from RNAcentral.